UACGGAGGGUGCGAGCGUUAAUCGGAAUUACUGGGCGUAAAGGGUGUGUAGGUUGUUUUAUAAGUUAACUGUGAAAUACCCGAGCUUAACUUGGGGGGUGCAGUUAAGACUGUGAGACUAGAGUAUGGGAGAGGGUAGUGGAAUUUCCGGUGUAGCGGUGAAAUGCGUAGAUAUCGGGAGGAACACCAGUGGCGAAGGCGGCUACCUGGCCUAAUACUGACACUGAGGCACGAAAGCGUGGGGAGCAAAC
RNAcentral lists this ribosomal RNA (250 nucleotides) under uncultured bacterium. Its description in RNAcentral is "partial 16S ribosomal RNA". It matches the Rfam family "Bacterial small subunit ribosomal RNA", at positions 524 to 773 of the family's 1533-position model. The record is from RNAcentral.